CCUCCCUCUGGCCAGAACAGCGUCUACCUGAAAAGUUCAAGGCAGCUCUGUGACAUGAGACAGCAGCUUUCGCAGCCUCUGGCUUACUGCCUCUCCCUCAGUCAGCGAGCAACAACGAGGAGCUGCCCGGUUCCAGGGCUGGGGCGAGGUCGCAAAGAAUCGCCAAGAAAAUACCACGUGGAUACCAGUUUGCAUGGGUAGCUUGGCUGUCAUGGUGAAUCUGCAUGGUGACUCAAACAUUUCUCGUUCAGUCUUUCAGUGUAACGCUCCGGAGGUUGGGCAUUUCCAGACUGAACAGGUAAUUGAAUCUGUUCUAGAUGCUGGAGAUCCAGGAAGGAGAGAAACAGACAUUCGCCACAUUGCGAAUCAGACUACGUGCUACUGCUUGUAUUCGGCCACGGGAGGAGCACAGGGCUGAACAAUAAUAUCUGCGUGGCACCAGGAGUUCAAGACAUUUGCACAACAAACCUGAAGCCAAGGCAGAAGGGUAUCAGAAUGGAAAAGCGGAUCAAGCCAAACUAUGGAAUCUGCCACAGCGUGGUUAGCAGAAUGGCUUGGUUACAACACUUGGAAGAGACCAGACCCCAGUGGACUUCAGUCCUUUAGUUGUGACCCAGGGUUUGGUCACUGGCAAGCAGGCUGGGCCAAGACCUUUUGCAAACGUGGGAGCCUAAGGAUGAAGAGUUAUCUAAGACAGUUGCUAUUUCAGUCCAGAACUUGAAGCUAAAAAUGUUCGAAUGGAAAAAAAAAAAAGUUUAAAAAUAUAGAUGUGUAUUUUUCUAAAACCCCAUUAAGCUGUCAAGGGCCCUCAGUGUGUGUUUCCUUUCCCAUCGUUGCUAAUC
Molecule: long non-coding RNA, 842 nt
Organism: Ailuropoda melanoleuca (giant panda)
Lineage: Eukaryota; Metazoa; Chordata; Mammalia; Carnivora; Ursidae
Exons: 7
Source: RefSeq, a predicted model, not a curated record